AUCUAUCACACGUGUAGACAAAGGGGGACUCCACAACACAAAGCUGGAUGUGCCCUCUCAAAACUUUUUUUUCUCCUCCGCGACGCACGGCGACGCGCGCAGAGCAAGCCGCCCCCAGGUGGAUUCAAACUCCAGAUUAACCAGCAAAGCGCUUUCUGCCAUGGGAGGUGCAGGAAAUACAAAUGUGUGGAAAUCAAAUGGAAGCUGUACGGAGUCACCUAUCAAGCAGCCUUUAAAACGAGAAGGAGGAGGAGGAUUAGGAGGCUGAGCUGUUUUCUUCUGGAGAAGGUGAAGAUUCAGGGAUUUAAACUCCAGCAGCAUCAGUGCCAGGCGGAAAUCGUCACACUCGGAAAUCGAAAAGUCAUGGAGACACUUUGAGGAUUAUAAAAAAAUGUGCCGUGUGUCUCUCCACAAGACACGUCGCGGGCCGGAGUCACUGGAACAGCAGGAUAUAUCAUGUCUGAUCCCCAUCGACGGCCCUCAGCCGGGGUAGACGCACAGUGAGAUGCUGCUGGGCCUCAGUAGACAGUGAGAGCACGGAGCCAGCCCCCUCUUCAGUUCACCGCCAGUUCACGCCGCUCCACACUGACAGAAAUGAUGCUGACAGAAAUGCAAAUUUGGGACAGUGACAGCAGCGGUGACAGCCACAAAUGUUAACAUUACGCCUCACAACUUCAGGUACCAAUUUGGAUUCACUUGAAAGUGUGGCUCCAGACUUUUAGACAAGGGACUGUGUUAUUCUUGUCUCGGAGGAGUUCGGCGUGUUAGGCUGUUAAUGCCCUGCCGCUUUCUGCUGAUUCAUCUGCUUCUGGAGUUUGCUGAACGAUCUCAAAGUAUCCUGUCAGACCUUGUGAGAGCGCGAAACGCCACAUUUGAUUUUGAUGACAAUACCAAACUAAGUAGCAUCAUUACUUUUGUUACAGAUGAAAGUGCAUUCUGGGACAAACGUCCUCAGCAGUAGAUAUGGGCUGUCUCCAAAGUCACACCUGUGUAGUCAACUAUAUGAUGAGUUCGCCAUUUUGUUGCUGGGCGGCAGGAACAGACAGACCUGUCUUAAUAAAAGCAAAGAAGUGUAUCACAGCACAAACUGCAGCAAACACAUGUAUUUCUACAUUAAAAGGUUGUAAGUCAAUGUGCUUUUAACCUAAAAGUAUGAAUAUGAAAUGGUAAAAUUAAUAUUUAGAAUAUAAUGAUGUUGUUGUACGUCAUAAUCCUGUGAAUACCGGCAAAGAAGAAAAUGUGCAUAGUAGCCUCUGAAAGCGUGUUCCUCUUUUGUAUAUGAGCUCAUUUUAUAUUCCUCUCAAUUGAAGUUAGUGGAUUUUGUACACAGCCACAGAGAUAAUAUAAUAAUAAUGUCCUUGUAUAAAAAUAAACUUUAUUA
This is a long non-coding RNA of Platichthys flesus (European flounder), 1381 nucleotides long. RefSeq lists it as uncharacterized. Lineage: Eukaryota; Metazoa; Chordata; Actinopteri; Pleuronectiformes; Pleuronectidae. The transcript is spliced from 3 exons. The record is from RefSeq and is a predicted model, not a curated record.